Molecule: ribosomal RNA, 1419 nt
Filed under: Salmonella enterica
Lineage: Bacteria; Pseudomonadati; Pseudomonadota; Gammaproteobacteria; Enterobacterales; Enterobacteriaceae
Also listed under: 1 other name
Description: partial 23S ribosomal RNA
Rfam family: Bacterial large subunit ribosomal RNA
Source: RNAcentral
GCCCUGGCAGUCAGAGGCGAUGAAGGGCGUGCUAAUCUGCGAUAAGCGCCGGUAAGGUGAUAUGAACCGUUAUAACCGGCGAUACCCGAAUGGGGAAACCCAGUGUGACUCGUCACACUAUCAUUAACUGAAUCCAUAGGUUAAUGAGGCGAACCGGGGGAACUGAAACAUCUAAGUACCCCGAGGAAAAGAAAUCAACCGAGAUUCCCCCAGUAGCGGCGAGCGAACGGGGAGGAGCCCAGAGCCUGAAUCAGCAUGUGUGUUAGUGGAAGCGUCUGGAAAGGCGCGCGAUACAGGGUGACAGCCCCGUACACAAAAGCGCAUGUGCUGUGAGCUCGAUGAGUAGGGCGGGACACGUGGUAUCCUGUCUGAAUAUGGGGGGACCAUCCUCCAAGGCUAAAUACUCCUGACUGACCGAUAGUGAACCAGUACCGUGAGGGAAAGGCGAAAAGAACCCCGGCGAGGGGAGUGAAAAAGAACCUGAAACCGUGUACGUACAAGCAGUGGGAGCACCCUUUGGGUGUGACUGCGUACCUUUUGUAUAAUGGGUCAGCGACUUAUAUUCUGUAGCAAGGUUAACCGAAUAGGGGAGCCGGAGGGAAACCGAGUCUUAAUUGGGCGUUAAGUUGCAGGGUAUAGACCCGAAACCCGGUGAUCUAGCCAUGGGCAGGUUGAAGGUUGGGUAACACUAACUGGAGGACCGAACCGACUAAUGUUGAAAAAUUAGCGGAUGACCUGUGGCUGGGGGUGAAAGGCCAAUCAAACCGGGAGAUAGCUGGUUCUCCCCGAAAGCUAUUUAGGUAGCGCCUCGUGAAUUCAUCUCCGGGGGUAGAGCACUGUUUCGGCUAGGGGGCCAUCCCGGCUUACCAACCCGAUGCAAACUGCGAAUACCGGAGAAUGUUAUCACGGGAGACACACGGCGGGUGCUAACGUCCGUCGUGAAGAGGGAAACAACCCAGACCGCCAGCUAAGGUCCCAAAGUCAUGGUUAAGUGGGAAACGAUGUGGGAAGGCCCAGACAGCCAGGAUGUUGGCUUAGAAGCAGCCAUCAUUUAAAGAAAGCGUAAUAGCUCACUGGUCGAGUCGGCCUGCGCGGAAGAUGUAACGGGGCUAAACCAUGCACCGAAGCUGCGGCAGCGACACUGUGUGUUGUUGGGUAGGGGAGCGUUCUGUAAGCCUGUGAAGGUGUGUCGUGAGGCAUGCUGGAGGUAUCAGAAGUGCGAAUGCUGACAUAAGUAACGAUAAAGCGGGUGAAAAGCCCGCUCGCCGGAAGACCAAGGGUUCCUGUCCAACGUUAAUCGGGGCAGGGUGAGUCGACCCCUAAGGCGAGGCCGAAAGGCGUAGUCGAUGGGAAACGGGUUAAUAUUCCCGUACUUGGUGUUACUGCGAAGGGGGGACGGAGAAGGCUAUGUUGGCCGGG